GGAGUGCGGAGGGAUCAUUA
This 20-nucleotide ribosomal RNA is filed under the name Trichoderma harzianum. RNAcentral describes it as "partial 18S ribosomal RNA". The record is from RNAcentral. Lineage: Eukaryota; Fungi; Ascomycota; Sordariomycetes; Hypocreales; Hypocreaceae.